GAGUUUGAUCUUGGCUCAGAGCGAACGCUGGCGGCAGGCCUAAUACAUGCAAGUCGAACGGCUCUUCGGAGCAGUGGCGGACGGGUGAGUAACGCGUGGGAACGUGCCCUUUGGUUCGGAACAACACAGGGAAACUUGUGCUAAUACCGAAUGUGCCCUUCGGGGGAAAGAUUUAUCGCCAUUGGAGCGGCCCGCGUUGGAUUAGCUAGUUGGUGGGGUAAAGGCCCACCAAGGCGACGAUCCAUAGCUGGUCUGAGAGGAUGAUCAGCCACACUGGGACUGAGACACGGCCCAGACUCCUACGGGAGGCAGCAGUAGGGAAUCUUGCGCAAUGGG
This 336-nucleotide ribosomal RNA is filed under the name uncultured Alphaproteobacteria bacterium. RNAcentral describes it as "bacterial SSU rRNA". It matches the Rfam family "Bacterial small subunit ribosomal RNA", at positions 9 to 375 of the family's 1533-position model. Lineage: Bacteria; Pseudomonadati; Pseudomonadota; Alphaproteobacteria. The record is from RNAcentral.